RNAcentral lists this long non-coding RNA (204 nucleotides) under Elaeis guineensis (African oil palm). RNAcentral describes it as "long non-coding RNA (EGUI_LNC054847)". The record is from RNAcentral. Lineage: Eukaryota; Viridiplantae; Streptophyta; Magnoliopsida; Arecales; Arecaceae.
UUGAAGCUGAUGAGGUCUCGAUUGCCUGUCUCUUCCAGUGCAUACCCUCUUCCAACCUGCGGAUCGAUUUUCUUCUUUAUGGGAGCUUCAUUUUCGGAGCCAUUUGCACUGACGAGACUAGCAUGGAGCUUGGGAGAGCAAAUGUGAGGGUGAGAUGAAGGGUUUCUAGUGGAAGGAUAGGGAUUUUUGGAGGAGUGAUACCCC